Molecule: long non-coding RNA, 244 nt
Filed under: Elaeis guineensis (African oil palm)
Lineage: Eukaryota; Viridiplantae; Streptophyta; Magnoliopsida; Arecales; Arecaceae
Description: long non-coding RNA (EGUI_LNC051016)
Source: RNAcentral
AUGAAGAAUCUGGCGGAGGGUCGGUCGGCGGUGGACUUCGGAUGGCGUUGGGGAGGUUCGUCCGCUGGAGGAGUCUGGAAAUCCUAUGGAAGUCUGGAUGGCGUUGUGGAAGUCCGGCUGAUGCUAUUGAAGGCUGAUGGCUGGGGAGGUUCGACAGACAUCAGAGGUGAUCGACCGUUGUAGAAAUCCAGCUACUGGAGUCCAUUCGUUGUAGAAGCUCAUCCGAUAUCCAUCCACUAUGGAA